GACGAACGCUUGCGGCGUGCUUAACACAUGCAAGUCGAACGGAAAGGCCCUGCUUUUGUGGGGUGCUCGAGUGGCGAACGGGUGAGUAACACGUGAGUAACCUGCCCUUGACUUUGGGAUAACUUCAGGAAACUGGGGCUAAUACCGGAUAGGAGCUCCUGCUGCAUGGUGGGGGUUGGAAAGUUUCGGCGGUUGGGGAUGGACUCGCGGCUUAUCAGCUUGUUGGUGGGGUAGUGGCUUACCAAGGCUUUGACGGGUAGCCGGCCUGAGAGGGUGACCGGCCACAUUGGGACUGAGAUACGGCCCAGACUCCUACGGGAGGCAGCAGUGGGGAAUAUUGCACAAUGGGCGGAAGCCUGAUGCAGCAACGCCGCGUGCGGGAGGACGGCCUUCGGGUUGUAAACCGCUUUCGCCUGUGACGAAGCGUGAGUGACGGUAAUGGGUAAAGAAGCACCGGCUAACUACGUGCCAGCAGCCGCGGUGAUACGUAGGGUGCGAGCGUUGUCCGGAUUUAUUGGGCGUAAAGGGCUCGUAGGUGGUUGAUCGCGUCGGAAGUGUAAUCUUGGGGCUUAACCCUGAGCGUGCUUUCGAUACGGGUUGACUUGAGGAAGGUAGGGGAGAAUGGAAUUCCUGGUGGAGCGGUGGAAUGCGCAGAUAUCAGGAGGAACACCAGUGGCGAAGGCGGUUCUCUGGGCCUUUCCUGACGCUGAGGAGCGAAAGCGUGGGGAGCGAACAGGCUUAGAUACCCUGGUAGUCCACGCUGUAAACGGUGGGUACUAGGUGUGGGGUCCAUUCCACGGGUUCCGUGCCGUAGCUAACGCUUUAAGUACCCCGCCUGGGGAGUACGGCCGCAAGGCUAAAACUCAAAGGAAUUGACGGGGCCCCGCACAAGCGGCGGAGCAUGCGGAUUAAUUCGAUGCAACGCGUAGAACCUUACCUGGGUUUGACAUGGAUCGGGAGUGCUCAGAGAUGGGUGUGCCUCUUUUGGGGUCGGUUCACAGGUGGUGCAUGGCUGUCGUCAGCUCGUGUCGUGAGAUGUUGGGUUAAGUCCCGCAACGAGCGCAACCCUUGUUCACUGUUGCCAGCACGUUAUGGUGGGGACUCAGUGGAGACCGCCUGGGUCAACUCGGAGGAAGGUGGGGAUGACGUCAAGUCAUCAUGCCCCUUAUGUCCAGGGCUUCACGCAUGCUACAAUGGCUGGUACAGAGAGUGGCGAGCCUGUGAGGGUGAGCGAAUCUCGGAAAGCCGGUCUCAGUUCGGAUUGGGGUCUGCAACUCGACCUCAUGAAGUCGGAGUCGCUAGUAAUCGCAGAUCAGCAACGCUGCGGUGAAUACGUUCCCGGG
Molecule: ribosomal RNA, 1343 nt
Filed under: uncultured bacterium
Lineage: Bacteria
Description: 16S ribosomal RNA
Rfam family: Bacterial small subunit ribosomal RNA
Source: RNAcentral